This is a long non-coding RNA of Medicago truncatula (barrel medic), 422 nucleotides long. RefSeq lists it as uncharacterized. The transcript is spliced from 3 exons. The record is from RefSeq and is a predicted model, not a curated record. NCBI's taxonomy places the organism in Eukaryota, Viridiplantae, Streptophyta, Magnoliopsida, Fabales, Fabaceae.
GAGUUUAGUUUUUUAAUGAUUAAAGGAGAGCUUGACGAGAUUGUGGCUGAACUUGAAGUGAGUAGAAGAAAACUAGUCGGUUUGAAGAUGCAAAAGGAUGCAGCUAUGGGAAUGAAUUCCACCAAUGCUGAUGUAGUGAAUGGAAACUUGUCUCCUGAGAAGCCUGCAGAGAGAGCCAUUACUUUGUCCGACUUGAAAAAUUCAAUUGAGGAAGCCAAGAUAGUGAAUGAUGAUCGUCUUUCAGAGCUUCAAGAUGCACGGGUAGGAAAUUAAAUAUUGACAAAGCAAUUCCAAGAACGCCAGAAUCCAAAUGGAAAAUUCAGAUCACCACCAACCAGACAAGAAGAAGCAGCAUCUUUUCACACCUGUUUCUUCCUGCAUCUCACCAAAUUCAACCAACCAUUCUCCUAACAGUAAAAACA